This 497-nucleotide ribosomal RNA is filed under the name uncultured bacterium. Its description in RNAcentral is "partial 16S ribosomal RNA". It matches the Rfam family "Bacterial small subunit ribosomal RNA", at positions 28 to 507 of the family's 1533-position model. The record is from RNAcentral.
GACGAACGCUGGCGGCGUGCCUAAUACAUGCAAGUAGAACGCUGAAGAGAGGAGCUUGCUCUUCUUGGAUGAGUUGCGAACGGGUGAGUAACGCGUAGGUAACCUGCCUUGUAGCGGGGGAUAACUAUUGGAAACGAUAGCUAAUACCGCAUAACAAUGGAUGACACAUGUCAUUUAUUUGAAAGGGGCAAUUGCUCCACCACAAGAUGGACCUGCGUUGUAUUAGCUAGUAGGUGAGGUAAUGGCUCACCUAGGCGACGAUCCAUAGCCUACCUGAGAGGUUGGUCGGCCACACUGGGCCUGAGACACGGCCCAUACUCCUACGGGAGGCAGCAGUAGGGAAUCUUCGGCAAUGGGGGCAACGCUGACCGCGCAACGCCGCGUGAGUGCAGAAGGUUUUCGGAUCGUAAAGCUCUGUUUGAAGUCAAGAACGGGUGUGAGAGUGGAAAGUUCACGCUGUGACGGUAGCUUAUCAGAAAGGGACGGCUAACUACGUG